GACGGGCCUCCUCGCAUGGUGGCUUGGCAACCUGGUCAGGUCGGGAACGAAGCAGCCAUACCCAAAUACUAU
RNAcentral lists this signal recognition particle RNA (72 nucleotides) under Burkholderiaceae bacterium. RNAcentral describes it as "partial signal recognition particle sRNA small type". It matches the Rfam family "Bacterial small signal recognition particle RNA", at positions 1 to 73 of the family's 97-position model. Rfam says of the family: The signal recognition particle (SRP) is a universally conserved ribonucleoprotein involved in the co-translational targeting of proteins to membranes. Lineage: Bacteria; Pseudomonadati; Pseudomonadota; Betaproteobacteria; Burkholderiales; Burkholderiaceae. The record is from RNAcentral.